This 700-nucleotide ribosomal RNA is filed under the name uncultured bacterium. RNAcentral describes it as "bacterial SSU rRNA". It matches the Rfam family "Bacterial small subunit ribosomal RNA", at positions 54 to 750 of the family's 1533-position model. The record is from RNAcentral.
CAUGCAAGUCGAGCGAGGUUCUUCGGAACCUAGCGGCGGACGGGUGAGUAACACGUGGGUAACCUGCCUGUAAGACCGGGAUAACUUCGGGAAACCGAAGCUAAUACCGGAUACUUUCGAGCAUCGCAUGAUGCUUGAUGGAAAGACGGCUUCGGCUGUCACUUACAGAUGGACCCGCGUCGCAUUAGCUAGUUGGUGAGGUAACGGCUCACCAAGGCGACGAUGCGUAGCCGACCUGAGAGGGUGAUCGGCCACACUGGGACUGAGACACGGCCCAGACUCCUACGGGAGGCAGCAGUAGGGAAUCUUCGGCAAUGGGCGAAAGCCUGACCGAGCAACGCCGCGUGAGCGAUGAAGGCCUUCGGGUCGUAAAGCUCUGUUGUUAAGGAAGAACAAGUACGAGAGUAACUGCUCGUACCUUGACGGUACUUAACGAGAAAGCCACGGCUAACUACGUGCCAGCAGCCGCGGUAAUACGUAGGUGGCGAGCGUUAUCCGGAAUUAUUGGGCGUAAAGCGCGCGCAGGCGGUUUCUUAAGUCUGAUGUGAAAGCCCACGGCUCAACCGUGGAGGGUCAUUGGAAACUGGGAAACUUGAGUGCAGAAGAGGAAAGCGGAAUUCCACGUGUAGCGGUGAAAUGCGUAGAGAUGUGGAGGAACACCAGUGGCGAAGGCGGCUUUCUGGUCUGUAACUACGCUAGG